This 140-nucleotide non-coding RNA is filed under the name Thermobispora bispora. Its description in RNAcentral is "SAM-I sequence". It matches the Rfam family "SAM riboswitch aptamer (S box leader)". Rfam says of the family: The SAM riboswitch is found upstream of a number of genes which code for proteins involved in methionine or cysteine biosynthesis in Gram-positive bacteria. The SAM riboswitch acts at the level of transcription termination control. The predicted structure consists of a complex stem-loop region followed by a single stem loop terminator region. Lineage: Bacteria; Bacillati; Actinomycetota; Actinomycetes; Streptosporangiales; Streptosporangiaceae. The record is from RNAcentral. RNAcentral also lists the same sequence under 1 other name.
CGCUCAUCAAGAGGGGUGGAGGGACCGGCCCUGUGAAGCCCCGGCAACCCUCCCGGUGACUGUGCUCGUAUCCGCGAGGCCGGCCGGGACAGGUGCCAAUUCCGGCUCCCGGCCAAGGUGGUCGGGAGUGAAGAUGAGGG